UCCAAGGGACACGCGCCCGCUUCCUGCCCGGCUGUCUCUUGAUCUUUCUCCUCCCCCUCUGCUACCUCACUCCUCACUCUUUUCUUCCCCGCCUAGAUCCCCUUUCUCAUCAAGCUCGUCGGCCACGCCGCCGCUCACCGUUGCAACGCCAGCCGCAGGGACCGGCGGGAUCCGCCAGCCGUCGGUCCGGAUCGACAUCCACGCCUCUGGCUCCGACAUGCACGCCUGCUAGACAUCGCCGUGAACCACCUCGUUUUUCCGGAACCUCUUGAACCAAUUCUGCCUUUCUCGGUUCCAUCAGCCGCGGCGGUCAUCCUCCUCCCUGAGCAACUACAGGGACCGUGACGGGCUCUGCUUCUGGACAACGGACUCGAAGGCACGGGUCCCUCCUAAUUCUUCCUCGACCGCUAACCGCCAUUGACGCCGUCCGUCCUCUCGCCUCCCUGAUCCGUCUGACCCGGCCGCCAUGAACAGCAAGGACAUUCAUGAGGGUUUGAAUUUUUCUGCUGCUGACGAUGAAUCCUACUUUGGAAUCCUUUCAAUAAAGUUUUUAAAAGAUGGCCGUGAACUUGUUAUUGGAAACAGCAAUGAGUCAAUAUGUAUUUAUGAUCUUUGAGCAAACAAAGUGACAGAGCGAAUUCAUGCUCAUGUGUCCUGUGCAGGCUGGAAGUUGUCUCCUUCGGGCCUGCAUUAUUUGGCCUACGGAUACAUGAAUAUAUCCUCUGUAUUUAGUUUAUUCCUCUCCCUCACGGUGAGCUUGGAGCCAAAGACCUCAUGUGCUGCGAAUUUCAUAACAGAGGAGAUUGGAAGAUGGAGAAGAAAGGGACAAGGGAGAGGUUCGAUUGGUUUGGUGCCUUUUUUUAGAUCGAUGAGCGCCUAUGCCUGGCCGGUGAGGGCAUGGCCUCGAUGGAGAUAGGAAGGAUGGAUAGGGAGAGGCGGCCCUCAGCCACGGUCGCCCACGCCCAGCCUCGAUCCCCUCUGGAUCGGGAUCGGGAGAGCCAGCGCCUGAUCCCUGCCUCGCCUCGCCACCUCGACGUCGGCGAGCCCCGCCAGAACCAGCUUCCCAAGCGCUGCCCUGCCUUCCUCCUCUUCAUCUCCUUUCUCUCAUUCCUCUCGUUUUCCCCUUCCUCCAUCCCGUGCUCUCUCUUAUCUCUCUCUCUUUGUUCGAACAGGAGGUACUCAGCCGCCCCAGCUAGGCCCAGCCAAGCCUAGUUAACCUUCCGUUGAGAUGGAUGGCGGCGCGGAGACAACGAGGUCGCCGGCAAGUGCAACGACGACCGACUGGCGGAGGCUUUGGUCGAGUGGUGAGCGAGAGCCCUCCUAGGCGGCGAACAGCGAGGAGCUCGGGCGCGCGGAGGAGAGGAGGAUCUGAGGCUUAACGGUGGUGCAGGGUGCUACGUUCGCCGGCGCGGCUCCGGAUCGAGCGUCGCGCGGGGUGGGGCGCCUCCUUGGCGGCUGGGAUCGGGAGGCGAGGGAGAGAGAGGAGAGCCCAUCUUGGGCCGUGGGUUGAAUACCGCAAAGUACAGGGAUUUAUUUUUAAAGUUGCCGAACGAAACGUUUUUCUCUUCAGAAAAGGAGUGCGGAUUGAAUAUGAAGAACUACAGGGACUUUUCUGUAAAAAUACCGACGACGUACGACCAGA
This is a long non-coding RNA of Triticum dicoccoides, 1642 nucleotides long. RefSeq lists it as uncharacterized. The record is from RefSeq and is a predicted model, not a curated record. The transcript is spliced from 5 exons. NCBI's taxonomy places the organism in Eukaryota, Viridiplantae, Streptophyta, Magnoliopsida, Poales, Poaceae.